GGAACCGAAGCUCUAUGUCCUUGAAGAGAUGAUAAAAGAGAGAAAUACCGCUUUACGAGAUGAAAAAGACCGCUAGGCGAGUCUGAGAAGGAAUGAAUAGGUCCAGGGUUCUUCCUACAUCAAUUGGUUGGAAAGGCGAAAUCACGUACUUCUGAGGAGGUCUGGCUGACAGAGCUUGGUUUUUCUUCCUUGACUCGAGACCUCUUUCACUGAGAACUAAUUCUACGUACUUCUGAGGAGGUCUGACUUACAAAGCUUGGUUUUUAUUCCUUGACUCGAGACCUCUUUCACUGAGAACUAAUUCAAUGUCUUUACGCAGG
This 320-nucleotide long non-coding RNA is filed under the name Nicotiana benthamiana. RNAcentral describes it as "long non-coding RNA (NBEN_LNC019355)". The record is from RNAcentral. Lineage: Eukaryota; Viridiplantae; Streptophyta; Magnoliopsida; Solanales; Solanaceae.